GCUGGCGACCAUAGCAAGAGUGAACCACCUGAUCCCUUCCCGAACUCAGAAGUGAAACCUCUUAGCGCUGAUGGUAGUGUGGGGUCUCCCAUGUGAGAGUAAGUCAUCGCCAGCU
This 115-nucleotide ribosomal RNA is filed under the name Stutzerimonas stutzeri. The record is from RNAcentral. RNAcentral also lists the same sequence under 13 other names. Lineage: Bacteria; Pseudomonadati; Pseudomonadota; Gammaproteobacteria; Pseudomonadales; Pseudomonadaceae.